GAUGAUUUAGAACAAGAGCCAUAUAUUCCUCAACAGAAACCUACUACUUCAAAACCUACUAAGAAGAAGCCUACAGAUGACAAAACUGUUGCUAUGUGGACAGACAGCAGCACGCUAGCAUUACUUACCUGUUAUGAAGCAAAAAGGAAGAUCUUGAUCAUCCUGUUAAGCGAGGGAAAGUAUGGGCAUCAAUAGCUGAUGACCUUUCAGAGUUCGGUUACAAGGUAUUAUAAAAAACUCCCAAAAAAUAUAAAAAUGUUUUGUAUUUUUGUAUGUACUAUGUAUGUACAUUUAUAUUUAUUAGAGAUUAGCGAGAGGGGCUCUGUACUGUAUUGCUGCAAAAUUGUCUUUUUAGUUGUUUUAAUAUGAAUUUGAUAUCUUUGGACAUUUUAUUUCUCUGAAAAUGCAAUAGCAAAUAAAUUGAACUUUAUACUGCACUUUCCCUGUCAUUGAUUGUCAUUUGCUUAAGAUAAAUUGUUUUAGGCUGGUAUUCAUAGUCGAAUCUUAUGUCAAAAUUGUCUCAAGCAAUG
Monomorium pharaonis (pharaoh ant) is the source of this 530-nucleotide long non-coding RNA. RefSeq lists it as uncharacterized. Lineage: Eukaryota; Metazoa; Arthropoda; Insecta; Hymenoptera; Formicidae. The transcript is spliced from 2 exons. The record is from RefSeq and is a predicted model, not a curated record.